RNAcentral lists this long non-coding RNA (408 nucleotides) under Ananas comosus (pineapple). Its description in RNAcentral is "long non-coding RNA (ACOM_LNC024449)". Lineage: Eukaryota; Viridiplantae; Streptophyta; Magnoliopsida; Poales; Bromeliaceae. The record is from RNAcentral.
AGAUUCCUGUGGCACCCGUUGUGCCUCCUAGAGGGCCGGUACAGAUGACUGAGGCCGAGCAGGAGCGAAUGACAGAGAGGUUAGCUCAUUUUCGCCGUUUUGAUCCGCCGACCUUCGAUGGCAGUUGCACUGAGGCCUGGGUUGUUGAGGGCUGGGUCAGUGCAAUGGAGAAGCUGUUCGAGGAUCUGUUCGUUCCUGAGAGGGAGCAGGUGUCUUUGAGAAUACACUGCUUAGCAGGCGAUGCUCAUGCCUGGUGAAGGAGGGUGAGACGAGACUAUGGAUUAGUGGAGUUGCAGCUGAAGUUGGACGAGUUCUGUGGAAUGCUGUUCGGGAUGUAUUUUCCCAACAGUGUGAAACAGAAGCUCGAGGAGGAUCUGAAGAGAAUUCAGCAAGGCGAGCGGACAGUUC